AGUAAUGGCAAUACUGCAAACAACUAUCAAUGAAUUCUUUCACUUUUAAGUUGUGAACUGAAGAGGAAGGGCAUAAUCACGGGUACAGGAGUGCGUGAUACUAAAAACAACAUUUUGAAAGUAUUUUCAAAACAAGUAUGUUGAAUUUACCAACAAGAAUAUUCCACAGUCAAAUAAACUUAUUUAGAUUAUUGACAAAGCACACUCCCGGUAACCGUGGUGAUGACAGAAUAUUCACACCCACAGUAUUCUUUGCAUUAGGAUUAGGAUUUGGAUUACAUGCUUACAGCGUGUCACUGAUGUUUAGAAAAGACCGUCAUAAUGUCACUUCUGAUUAGAACUCUUAUCAGUUUUAUACAAUUGUAUUUUUUUUUAUUUGAAGAAAAGCAUAGUGUCCUAGCAUAUAUUAUGUUUUAAAUUUAAGAUUUACUACUCUAAAUUAGGAGUAAGAGUAAUUUACAAAUUUUUAGUGAACAUAAAUUGAAAGUAAUAUCAUUUAUAGGCUUAAUUUUGCUGUUUUUUUCUUUAUGUGUGCAAUAGAAAUAAAAUAUGUCCUAUUAAA
This is a long non-coding RNA of Diorhabda sublineata, 562 nucleotides long. RefSeq lists it as uncharacterized. Lineage: Eukaryota; Metazoa; Arthropoda; Insecta; Coleoptera; Chrysomelidae. The record is from RefSeq and is a predicted model, not a curated record. The transcript is spliced from 3 exons.